Hordeum vulgare subsp. vulgare (domesticated barley) is the source of this 74-nucleotide non-coding RNA. The record is from Rfam. NCBI's taxonomy places the organism in Eukaryota, Viridiplantae, Streptophyta, Magnoliopsida, Poales, Poaceae.
GCGCUCUUAGUUCAGUUCGGUAGAACGCUGGUCUCCAAAACCCGAUGUCGUAGGUUCAAAUCCUACAGAGCGUG